RNAcentral lists this ribosomal RNA (798 nucleotides) under uncultured bacterium. RNAcentral's name for it is "bacterial SSU rRNA". It matches the Rfam family "Bacterial small subunit ribosomal RNA", at positions 63 to 875 of the family's 1533-position model. The record is from RNAcentral.
UGAGCGGAGAUUAUGGAGCUUGCUUUAAUAACUUAGCAGCGAACGGGUGAGUAACACGUAGAUAAUCUAUCCUAUACUGGGGGAUAGCCCGAUGAAAGUUGGAUUAAUACCGCAUAUAGCUAUAUAGUUGCAUGAUUAUGUAGUGAAAGAUUUAUUGGUAUAGGAGGAGUCUGCGGCACAUUAGCUAGUAGGUGAGGUAAAGGCUUACCUAGGCGACGAUGUGUAGCCGGUCUGAGAGGAUGAACGGCCACAAUGGAACUGAGACACGGUCCAUACUCCUACGGGAGGCAGCAGUGGGGAAUAUUGCACAAUGGGGGAAACCCUGAUGCAGCAACGCCGCGUGAGUGAAGAAGGUUUUCGGAUUGUAAAGCUCUGUUAGCAGGGAAGAGGAAGGACGGUACCUGCAGAGGAAGCCACGGCUAACUACGUGCCAGCAGCCGCGGUAAUACGUAGGUGGCAAGCGUUGUUCGGAAUAACUGGGCGUAAAGGAUGCGUAGGCGGUUAAACAAGUUAUAUGUUAAAUAUAUAGGCUUAACCUGUAGAAAGCAUAUAAAACUGUUUAACUAGAGUGCAGGAGAGGUAAGUGGAAUUCCUAGUGUAGCGGUGAAAUGCGUAGAGAUUAGGAAGAACACCAGUGGCGAAGGCGACUUACUGGACUGUAACUGACGCUGAGGCAUGAGAGCAUGGGGAGCAAACAGGAUUAGAUACCCUGGUAGUCCAUGCUGUAAACGAUGGGUACUAGGUGUGGGUUGUGAAUAACAAUUCGUGCCGUCGCAAACGCAAUAAGUACCCCGCCUG